UACGUAGGGGGCAAGCGUUGUCCGGAUUUAUUGGGCGUAAAGGGCGUGCAGGCGGUUUGUUAAGUGCAGGGUGAAAGCUCCCGGCUCAACUGGGAGAGGUCCUUGCAUACUGGCGAACUCGAGGGAGGCAGAGGAAAGUGGAAUUCCCGGUGUAGUGGUGAUAUGCGUAGAUAUCGGGAGGAACACCUGUGGCGAAGGCGGCUUUCUGGGCCUUACCUGACGCUGAGACGCGAAAGCGUGGGGAGCGAACCGG
This 253-nucleotide ribosomal RNA is filed under the name uncultured bacterium. Its description in RNAcentral is "partial 16S ribosomal RNA". It matches the Rfam family "Bacterial small subunit ribosomal RNA", at positions 524 to 776 of the family's 1533-position model. The record is from RNAcentral.